CAUCUAGAAGGACACAGCAAGCUG
RNAcentral lists this non-coding RNA (24 nucleotides) under Cricetulus griseus (Chinese hamster). Lineage: Eukaryota; Metazoa; Chordata; Mammalia; Rodentia; Cricetidae. The record is from RNAcentral.